AUGAUUUUUUUGGAGUUUGUUGAUCAACUAUGUUUUAGGGGUAAAUCUGGGAGUUGGUUCAGACUCAUACUAAGGCAAAAGGUGGACGUAUUGACAUGUUGCACUAGAGGAACAACGACCUUGGGGGAGCAGGUGACGGUCGAAGGAAUGGCAUAUAGUGGCACAUCUUACCAGGUUGCAGCCGCCGGCGCCGCCGCCGCUGCCGUCGUCGCCGCCGCCGUCGUGGUGGAGAUCGAGGUCGCCUUCGCCGCACCCACCCAAAUCGUAUCAGACGAGCGUGAUAUCUGGGACAGAACGAUCGGGGUUGGCUGCCUCUCACGUAGAUCAACACGAAGGCUUGUUGGUCAUUUUGCUGUGGCCCGUCUCGUCGGGGGCAAAUCCUCAAGAUUACAGCAAAUGCGUGGCAAAUCCUCAGUUUCAGGGUAA
RNAcentral lists this ribosomal RNA (426 nucleotides) under Triticum aestivum (bread wheat). RNAcentral describes it as "partial small subunit ribosomal RNA". Lineage: Eukaryota; Viridiplantae; Streptophyta; Magnoliopsida; Poales; Poaceae. The record is from RNAcentral.